RNAcentral lists this ribosomal RNA (301 nucleotides) under uncultured bacterium. Its description in RNAcentral is "partial 16S ribosomal RNA". It matches the Rfam family "Bacterial small subunit ribosomal RNA", at positions 509 to 807 of the family's 1533-position model. The record is from RNAcentral.
CAGUAGCCGCGGUAAUACAGAGGCCUCAAGCGUUGUUCGGAUUCAUUGGGCGUAAAGGGUGCGUAGGUGGCUUGGUAAGUUGAAGGUGAAAUCUCGGGGCUUAACCCCGAAACUGCCUUCAAUACUGCUAGGCUCGAGGACUGUAGAGGAGAAUGGAAUUCACGGUGUAGCAGUGAAAUGCGUAGAUAUCGUGAGGAAGACCAGUGGCGAAGGCGAUUCUCUGGGCAGUUCCUGACACUGAGGCACGAAGGCCAGGGGAGCAAACGGGAUUAGAUACCCCGGUAGUCCCUGUCUCUUAUAC